GCUGGCGCAGUGCCACGUGCCUGUAGUCGCAGCUACUCGGGAGGCUGAGGCAGGAGGAUUGCUCAAGGCCAGGAGUUCUGGGGUGCAGUGCACUAUGCUGAUCGGGUGUCCGCACUAAGUUCAGCAUCAAUACAGCGAUCUUCUGGGAGUGGGGGACCACCAGGUUGCCUCAGGAAGGGUGAACCGGCCCAGGUCGGAAACUCCCAUUCUGAUCAGUAGUAGGAUCACGCCUGUGAAUAGCCACUGCACUCCAGCCUGGGCAACAUAGUGAGACCCCAUCCCC
RNAcentral lists this signal recognition particle RNA (283 nucleotides) under Aotus nancymaae (Ma's night monkey). RNAcentral's name for it is "Metazoan signal recognition particle RNA (ENSANAG00000002302.1)". It matches the Rfam family "Metazoan signal recognition particle RNA". Rfam says of the family: The signal recognition particle (SRP) is a universally conserved ribonucleoprotein. Lineage: Eukaryota; Metazoa; Chordata; Mammalia; Primates; Aotidae. The record is from RNAcentral.